AAUUCGAUGAUACGCGAAGAACCUUACCGGGUUUGACAUGCAGGUGAUCGCCGUUGAAAGACGGGUUUCCUCUUCGGAGGCACCUGCACAGGUGCUGCAUGGCUGUCGUCAGCUCGUGUCGUGAGAUGUUGGGUUAAGUCCCGCAACGAGCGCAACCCUUAUCCCUAGUUGCCAUCAGGUAAAGCUGGGAACUCUGGGGAGACUGCCGGUGGAUAAACCGGAGGAAGGCGGGGAUGACGUCAAGUCCUCAUGGCCCUUACAUCCCGGGCUACACACGUGCUACAAUGGCAGGUACAGAGGGCUGCGAAGCCGCGAGGUGGAGCGAAUCCCAGAAAACCUGUCUCAGUCCGGAUUGAAGUCUGCAACUCGACUUCAUGAAGGCGGAAUCGCUAGUAACCGCGAAUCAGCAGGUCGCGGUGGAAUAACGUUCCCGGGCCGUU
This 440-nucleotide ribosomal RNA is filed under the name uncultured Latescibacterota bacterium. Its description in RNAcentral is "bacterial SSU rRNA". It matches the Rfam family "Bacterial small subunit ribosomal RNA", at positions 948 to 1382 of the family's 1533-position model. The record is from RNAcentral. Lineage: Bacteria; Pseudomonadati; Candidatus Latescibacterota.